CCUACGGGAGGCAGCAGUGGGGAAUAUUGCACAAUGGGCGCAAGCCUGAUGCAGCCAUGCCGCGUGUAUGAAGAAGGCCUUCGGGUUGUAAAGUACUUUCAGCGGGGAGGAAGGGAGUAAAGUUAAUACCUUUGCUCAUUGACGUUACCCGCAGAAGAAGCACCGGCUAACUCCGUGCCAGCAGCCGCGGUAAUACGGAGGGUGCAAGCGUUAAUCGGAAUUACUGGGCGUAAAGCGCACGCAGGCGGUUUGUUAAGUCAGAGGUAAAAUCCCCGGGCUCAACCGGGAAACUGCACCGGAUACUGGCAAGCUUGAGUCUCGUAGAGGGGGGUAAAAUUCCAGGUGUAGCGGUAAAAUGCGUAGAGAUCUGGAGGAAUACCGGUGGCGAGGGCGGCCCCCUGGACGAAGACUGACGCUCAGGUGCGAAAGCGUGGGGAGCAAACAGGAUUAGAUACCCCUGUAGU
This 464-nucleotide ribosomal RNA is filed under the name uncultured Enterobacteriaceae bacterium. Its description in RNAcentral is "partial 16S ribosomal RNA". It matches the Rfam family "Bacterial small subunit ribosomal RNA", at positions 338 to 794 of the family's 1533-position model. The record is from RNAcentral. Lineage: Bacteria; Pseudomonadati; Pseudomonadota; Gammaproteobacteria; Enterobacterales; Enterobacteriaceae.